Macaca nemestrina (pig-tailed macaque) is the source of this 2809-nucleotide long non-coding RNA. Lineage: Eukaryota; Metazoa; Chordata; Mammalia; Primates; Cercopithecidae. The record is from Ensembl.
UCUCUCUCCAGGCCAUGGAUUCCACCCAGAACUGACAUCCUGGCCUCCAGGCUUCAGGCCAUUAUUGGCUUGAAGGUGGGGCUUCACCAGGGACCCUCCCCUUCCUGCCUAGUAGCCUAUCUGCCUCCUGGGCUGACGUGUCAGCCAGUGCACCCAGGAUGUUCGUGCUGAGGCACCUGCGGACCCGUGCGGGGCUGCCCUCAGGCCCCACGCAGCCCCCCUCCCGUACUCGUUGACGUCCAAAGUCUGGAGGAGGCCGAGGGUUCAGGGCACUGGCAUGCCAGUGCCACCCCAAGCAUGGACACACCCGGCCUGGUUGCAGGAGCUCCCAGGCUCGGCCACAACUUUGCUCCCACCCGGAGUGGGUGCCAGGAGCGGGGAGAGGCCAGGCCCUGGGAGCAGGAACUUUCAAGCCUGCAGAGACAAGGGACUUCCUGGGCCCCGAGAGUGCAGCGAUGCCUGGGUCCUGGGCCGUGGCUGGGUGGCUGCAGCUGCACCUGGAGUGCGGGGCUCCUGGAGUGUCCCGCUCCUGCCCCACUGACUCCGUACAGUGCAGGGCUCCCCACUGUUGCCGGCCCCUGCUGGCUCCGCGAAGUAUGCAGCCCUGGCCGCGCCUACCCCGCUGCAGUGGAUGUCUUUGCAGCAGCCCCUCCAGAUGGGCCGCCGCUGCCAUCAGUAGUAUUUGGAAGAUAUCCUACAAUCAAAAGGAGAAAUUGACAAGUUUAUAAACAGAAUGAGUACAUUACUGUCUCAUCACGUGACACAUCAAAUCCAUCAGCUAGAAGCCAGAACGGGUGAGAUGUACACAUGACACAAAGUGGAAAGUGGGAGCUUCAAUUGUGAUUACCUAUUUUGAAAUGUGGAAAUGGUGGUAAAAAUGAGCUUCUCACCUUCGAUGUCACAUAUUCAGGUACUUCAUAACUUCUCUAAAUGUGCAAAGUAAGUUAUGCUCUAAGACUGAGGUAAUUUUCUUCAGAUUCCAUUCAUUACAAUUAAAUGGACUGAAUACAUGUAUAGAAAGCUCUUAGGGGAAUGUCUAACUCAAGUGCUAUAGAAGAUGCAGAAACUGUACCUUUGCAUUCCUAGCUGGUACAAGGUUGACAGUGCAUCAAAGUUGUUGUAAUUUGAUACCAUGUGCUUGUUUUAAUUGUAAUAAUUUGAUAUUUAUUGAUUGUAACUUUUUCACUACUUCCAACUCAGGAUAUUUGUUUGUCGUUGUCAUGGUAAGAUUGCCAAAUUUACCUGAAACAGAACCUAACCUUAUAUCCUUAAAGCAAUUCCUUCAACUAAGAUUUAAAUCCACAAGCUGGGUACAGUGGUGAACACCUGUAGUCCUAGCUAUUAGAGAGGCUAAGACAGGAGCCUGAGCGCAGGAGUUUGAGUCCAGCCUGGGAAACACAGCAAGACACUGUGUUUAAUUUAAAAAGGAAAAAAAAAUAAGGAUUCAAAUUCGGAUGACAGAGCUGUGUCCUAUAUUCGUCACAAUUGUUCUCCCUAAAAUAACAAAGUUUACAGCUCCUUAUCUUUUUUAGGUAAUAACAUCAAUAGCAAUUAGUAAAACACAGGUGAUGUUUAAUUUACCUGCUCUUUAUUUCAAAUUAUUUUUCUAUUAACUUCAUUUAUCUAUUUAAUUAUCUGCAAUUAAGUAGACAUUUAAUCAUUUUACCUCUUUUUCAUUUUGUUAAUAUAGAUUAUUGCCUAAAAAACUUGUAAGCAAAAAUCCUACCAAGACCUCCAAUUGGAAAAUUUGAAAUCCCAUUUGGUGAUCUAGAAGUACACUUUUGCAUGUAAUCAGAAGAAAGAAAGAAAAUAAGAAAGACAGAAAAAUAAUUAAGUAAAAGAAUAAAGAAGAAUGAAGAAGAAAAAUUAUUUACAAAGUAAGAAGGAGAUAAGAGGGAAGAGAUAGAAGGAAAAAACAAAAAGAAUAAAAAUGUUUAAUAUUUGAGAAAAUCUAGCAACUCACAGAAGAGUUCAUUUAUAUUAGGAUAAAAAAAAACUAAAAAAUGUUAAAUGGGUAUGUAAGAUAGGAGUCAAUGUAGAGUAACCUAUCACAAAAGUUAAUUGGAACAAAUUUAUGUUUAUUUAAAUAACACCUAGAAAUCUACAGUUAUGCCAGGUUAAUAAUUCUAAAAUUUUAAAUGUAACAUUUAAAUGUAAUUGUUUAAAAUAUAAUUAAUCCAUUAUAUUUAUACAUAUUUAUUUUUCCAAUUGCUUACCAAUAUAUAAUAGUAUAUCUCAUAUUGUAAAGUCAGUCUUGUUUUUCCCCUUCCUUCUCUUCCUCUUUUUCUUUUCUCUCUUCCUUCCUUUGUUUUUUUCACCACCGUUCUCUGUUUUCUUUCUUUCUUUUAUCCACCCUUAUUUAUUCUUCCCCACCUAAGAGGAACAUAGAAAUCACAAUCAGACCCACAGAAAUUGCUUAGAGUAUGGUCAGCAAAUGAGGAACACAUUUAUUGAUUAGCUUCUUUGAAAUAUCAUCUAUUUAUAUCUUAUAAAUUCAAAUUUAAUUAUCUAUCUUAUAGAAGAAAUUAGACAAUUAUAAACUUUCUAAGCAUUAAAACAGACAUCUGGUUAUUUCCUUGAGUAUUAAAACAUCCUAGAUUUUACUUCAUACAGGGAAUUCUGAAUCAUUUCCUGGACUUAAAUAGAUGUUUUCUCAUGUUUCUUUAUAAUCCAGGUUUAUUUAUGAUCACAAGAAGUUGAUGCAAUAUUAGUCACUGACAAGCUUCAUUCACCCUACUGUAUGAUGGAAAAAAGAGUCAAGCUUUGCCUAUGACAUUUUGUACUCCACGAGCCUUACACUUUGCUCUAG